RNAcentral lists this ribosomal RNA (253 nucleotides) under uncultured bacterium. RNAcentral describes it as "partial 16S ribosomal RNA". It matches the Rfam family "Bacterial small subunit ribosomal RNA", at positions 524 to 776 of the family's 1533-position model. The record is from RNAcentral.
UACGUAGGGGGCAAGCGUUGUCCGGAUUUAUUGGGCGUAAAGAGCGUGUAGGCGGUUUGGUAGGUCCGCUGUGAAAACUCGAGGCUCAACCUCGAGACGCCGAUGGAAACCAUCUGACUAGAGUCCGGAAGAGGAGAGUGGAAUUCCUGGUGUAGCGGUGAAAUGCGCAGAUAUCAGGAAGAACACCCGUGGCUAAGGCGGCUCUCUAGUACGGUACUGACGCUGAGACGCGAAAGCGUGGGGAGCGAACAGG